AGCAGCGGAGGAGCGGGCAGCACCCGACGACUUGUGAUCGUCGAGUCGCCCACGAAGGCGCGCAAGAUCGCCUCCUACCUCGGCUCC
RNAcentral lists this transfer RNA (87 nucleotides) under Lentzea flava. Its description in RNAcentral is "tRNA-Thr". The record is from RNAcentral. Lineage: Bacteria; Bacillati; Actinomycetota; Actinomycetes; Pseudonocardiales; Pseudonocardiaceae.